CCCCCUCAAACAAAAUCUUUUCAUUGACCUACGAAGUCUUAUGAAAGAUGUUCUUCAAAUGAUAUACUUUACAUUUUUGUGUGAGGCUCCUAUUGUACACACCUCAGAGGGCAUGUCUUCCAGCUUUGUGCUUGACUAUUUUAUUAUUUUUUUUUAAUGUUUUGGGCAUACUGUGUGGCAUGGGAGAUCUUAUUUCCCUGACCAGGUAUAGAACUUUCACCCCCUGCAUGAGAAGUGAGAAGUCUUAAGCACUGGAUUGCCAGGGAAAUUCCUCAGCUAUUUUAAAGGUGACAUUUCCAAAGGCCAGUUCAAUCCCUUCUGCCAGGUGGCAGCAAAUAGUUCUUACUGGACAAAUAGUUCUUAAUGGACAGCAAAUAGUUCUUAAUGGACAGCAAAUAGUUCUUAAUGGACACCAGGCACCUUGAUAAAUGAAUCUACCUGAGAUAGACACUUUGGAAACAGGAACUAAGGUAGGAGGUAUUCACAGACAGCAAAGAGUCAUUUCAAGUAAUCUGACAGUAAGUUAAACUAAACAACCUACAGACAGACCACCACAGCCACUCCAAGAGAAGCAAUGUCUUAAAAAAGACCCAAGUCCCUUCUAUCUGCUACCCUAGACAAGGAACAGGAAGAGGAAUAAAUGAGCAAUAUGGAAGAGAAAACAACUUAAUGGCCUGCAGAGAGAAAUAACAAUAAAAAUCAGGCCAACUCACCCCAUACCACUUCUGAGAAAUCCAGCACCUUGAAGAAAUACUGGUUACAUGGAGGCUGGAACCCAGAUCAGCAUCGAGUGAAAAAGCAUCUGUGAAGGGUUGAUUGUGCGUGUGCCUGUGUGAGGCUUUGUCCCAACAGAGACAGAAUGGCUCUGUCUCUUUUCCUGGCCAGAACCCCAGCUGUGCAACAGAAUUAUAGCAAACACUUGAUGACUAAGACUCCAAAUCUCCAAAAAUACAACAAACAACAUGAGAAAGUCUCAUCAGAUUUUCCUUGCAUUUGCUGGCACUGAGCCCUGUUUGGUCAGA
This is a non-coding RNA of Odocoileus virginianus texanus, 1022 nucleotides long. The record is from RefSeq and is a predicted model, not a curated record. Lineage: Eukaryota; Metazoa; Chordata; Mammalia; Artiodactyla; Cervidae.